GCGUAUAUUAAAGUUGGUGUGGUUAAAAAGCUCGUAGUUGAACCUUGGGCCUGGCUGGCCGGUCCCCCUCACCGGGUGCACUGAUCCAGCCGGGCCUUUCCCUCUACGGAACCCAUGGCCUUCACUGGUCGUGGCGGGGAAGUAGGACUUUUACUUUGAAAAAAUUAGAGUGCUCCAGGCAGGCCUAUGCUCGAAUACAUUAGCAUGGAAUAAUAGAAUAGGACGUGUGGUUCUAUUUUGUUGGUUUCUAGGACCGCCGUAAUGAUUAAUAGGGACAGUCGGGGGCAUCAGAUUCAAUUGUCAGAGGUGAAAUUCUUGGAUCUAUUGAAGACUAACUACUGCGAAAGCAUUUGCCAAGGAUGUUUUCAUUGAUAAGGAACGAAAGUUAGGGGAUCGAAGACGAUCAGAUACCGUCGUAGUCUUAACUAUAAACUAUGCCGACUAGGGAUCGGACGAUGUUAUUACUUGACUCGUUCGGCACCUUUCGAGAAAUCAAAGUGCUUGGGCUCCAGGGGAGUAUGGUCGCAAGGCUGAAACUUAAAGGAAUUGACGGAAGACUUAAAGGCAUGGCU
RNAcentral lists this ribosomal RNA (572 nucleotides) under Corollospora angusta. Its description in RNAcentral is "SSU rRNA". It matches the Rfam family "Eukaryotic small subunit ribosomal RNA", at positions 597 to 1181 of the family's 1831-position model. The record is from RNAcentral. Lineage: Eukaryota; Fungi; Ascomycota; Sordariomycetes; Microascales; Halosphaeriaceae.